GCCCUUUUCAUUGGACCCGACGCACCCUAUAUUGGGUGUGCUGCGCAAGCAGCUAUGACAAUAAACGAGCGUUGAAAUAAACCAUUCGGACCCGGGGGCGGUACCCGGCGCCUCCACCAUGAUCCGGCGACAGGCCGUAACGGCCACAAGGCCGGAUGAUGAUGGGGGCGAAACAGGAUCGACGAGGGUGUAAAGAGCGGCUUUUUGUUCGGUAUUGUACCACCGUUAUCGGGCUAAACUUGUAGUUGCAAAUGACAACUAUGCGGAAGCUCGUCUCGCUGCUUAAUUGCGGUGUGACACUUCAAAUCAAGUCCUAGAGGGUCGCACUUCUAGGCGGGGUUCGGAGGUACCUGGCAACAGAAACCUCCACU
Molecule: transfer-messenger RNA, 371 nt
Filed under: Hoeflea ulvae
Lineage: Bacteria; Pseudomonadati; Pseudomonadota; Alphaproteobacteria; Hyphomicrobiales; Rhizobiaceae
Also listed under: 1 other name
Rfam family: Alphaproteobacteria transfer-messenger RNA
About the family: Bacterial tmRNA, also known as 10Sa RNA or SsrA, is named for its dual tRNA and mRNA-like properties. Its role is to liberate the mRNA from a stalled ribosome.
Source: RNAcentral